UCCGUAGGUGAACCUGCGGAAGGAUCAUUAAAGAAUCGCCGAAAGGCUUUCUUACACACACCCGUGCACAUGUGGCCUCGGCCGCUUAUUACACAAACAGUUGUCAUGAACGUGAAUUAUCAUAACAUUAAAACAACUUUCAACAACGGAUCUCUUGGCUCUCGCAUCGAUGAAGAACGCAGCGAAAUGCGAUAAGUAAUGUGAAUUGCAGAAUUCAGUGAAUCAUCGAAUCUUUGAACGCACCUUGCGCCUUUUGGUAUUCCGAAAGGCAUGCCUGUUUGAGUGUCAUGUAGACUCAACCCCUCGGGUUUCGUACCCGGGGCGUGUUGGAUUUGGGCCUUGGCUGUUACAAGCCUGGCCUUAAAUGUGUUAGUGGGUUCUGCUCAGACGUUUUAAGUACUCGUCGACCGCGGCCCUCUCAUAAAACCUCUAUACUUUGACUCUGACCUCAAAUCAGGUAGGACUACCCGCUGAACUUAAGCAUAUCAAUAAGCGGAGGA
RNAcentral lists this ribosomal RNA (500 nucleotides) under uncultured fungus. Its description in RNAcentral is "eukaryotic LSU rRNA". The stretch from base 135 to 288 matches the Rfam family "5.8S ribosomal RNA". The record is from RNAcentral. Lineage: Eukaryota; Fungi.